Long non-coding RNA from Lathyrus oleraceus (garden pea), 400 nucleotides. RefSeq lists it as uncharacterized. The record is from RefSeq and is a predicted model, not a curated record. The transcript has 3 exons. NCBI's taxonomy places the organism in Eukaryota, Viridiplantae, Streptophyta, Magnoliopsida, Fabales, Fabaceae.
CUCACGCAUCAAACACCAAGAAGGAAGAAGAAGUAGAAGUGAAACAAGAGUAGAAAGGAGAAGAAGAAGUCAUUCCUGCAAUCAACUUCAUCAAUAUCUGCGCAGUUCUCCGAGCUCACCUCUGGAAGAAGAAUAUAUCAUGAUGAAGUCUGGAAGCAUUCUUCUAAUGGUCGUAGCCUUGUUUGUUCUCUUGACCUCUACCUUCGGAUCUCGUAUUCCUAUUGCAGAUAUCACUUUUUGUCCAAGACAUUUGGAUUUGUCGGGUAAAUGCAGCAAUUCUCGCAACUGCGGUGAAGACCUCAACGCCGCACUUGGAGCAAGCGCUAUGGUUCAUGGAUGUUCUUGUCAAGAUCUUUCUUCAUAUCAACAUCGUUGUACAUGUUUAGCUGUUUGCCCGUAG